RNAcentral lists this long non-coding RNA (1240 nucleotides) under Gallus gallus (chicken). RNAcentral's name for it is "lncRNA (ENSGALG00010001055.1)". The record is from RNAcentral. Lineage: Eukaryota; Metazoa; Chordata; Aves; Galliformes; Phasianidae.
AUGCAUUGUUGCUCCUGUACCAAAGUGUUAUUGAAUAGAGUAAUGUGGCACUUGAAAACAUGGUAGUUUGCAGUUACUCAGUACUACGCAUACGUACAUGUUCACCCAGUUGUGUAAAUAAUGCCAGAAGUUUUAUUACGUGCAAAGAACUGUUACUGAGACCUCAGCUCUUGAGAAUCAACUGCCAUUCUAACAUCUUCCUACAACACUGAAAUCCCAGUUUUCUGAAGUGAAAUAUGCUAAGCAUUUCUCCAAGUGGUGGUUGCAUGAGGCAAGACAGGAGGAUGAACAAACUGAAGUACAAAAGAACAAAGCAGUGCACCCACAAACACCACCAGGCACCUGGCGAAACUAGAAAUAGAUUAAAUAUUUCUGGAGUACUAGUGCAGCACUCUGCUCAUUAGCAAGGCAGUCUACUUUCCCAUGAGGCAUCUCAAAAUUGCCCUAUGACUACUGUUUGGUUUUAACUCCUCCCUUGGAUAGGUCACAAGGACAAGUGACUUGGGUUGUGCCAAGACCUGAAAUGGGAGACUGGUGUAAAUGGCAGAUAGCCAGCAGCAAGGAGACAUCUGGGAUAAGACAAGGCGCUAAGGUGUGUUGUACAUCGUUAUGAAACUAUUCUACCUUUGUUUUUGCUGUAACGUUAUAUUUUUAAGAACUAUGCCUGCCUGAGGAGACAGUAGUUGUUUUGUUCUCUGAAUUGCUAUAGCCUCGGGGUGUCGAAGUCAUUUAGUACAGAGGGUUGAAUUCCAUGUUAAAUUAUGGUUCAUGGGUCACUGUAUAAAUAUACGAAUUGCAUACUUUCUAGCACAACCGUAUCCCAGUGAUGUCAGUGGAAGUUCACAGAGAGAUCAGCAUCACUCAGCUGAACAAUUUGCUCCCUUUUAAGAUCACAGCUGUCUCAUCUCUGCUUUUUCUUCUUUCUGCCAAUUCCUGUUCCUUGAGAGAGACAUUUCUGCCUCUUCUCCAUUGCUUGCUGAAAACUAGUUAGUAAUGCCACAGAAAUGUGUUCGGGGAUCAGUCUGUGAGCAGUUUGGAUGGCUAUAAGAUGUGGAGAUGACAUCUAUUGCAAGAUGUUGUGAAUAAUCAGGCCAGGCAUGUCCAACCCAUGGCCUGUGGGCUGCAUGCAGCGUGGCACAGCUCACACUACGGCCAUCCCCUGCCCUACACUAUUAAGGACCGUGGCUCUGCCCCACCAGGUGGCCCAGCCCAGACCUGAGCAUGCACCCAUCCAUCAGCA